UGUGGGUACCUCUUCCUCCUUCUUCUCCGUGUCAUCCAUGCUGGGUGACACGCUGGCACUCUUAGAUUGGAUGAGAACAGAUCUGGACCAUGUAACAAGAUUGUAUUAUAUUGGGGGUCAUUUGUAAAUACCUAGUACGUAGUUUAGAGUAUAAAAGAUAAGUCCUGCCUCUGCCAGGCAGAUUCUGCCCUGGACAUCUGGCGAGCAGACUGCUGUUCGCUGGACCAAGCAUUCCUGAGAUAAGAAACAAUAAACAACCAAGAAAACCUCUAAGAACAGCCUCCUGCAGUCUCUCAUCGAUGGGCAUUGGAAAGAGCUGGGUUCCAAACCACCUGCAUGUCCUCCAGAGGUGAUCUCAGGUCUAAGGAGACACCUCAGGAUGUGACAUUUGGCGUCCUCUGGGUGGGCUGCAGCCUGCAAAGGUGGGUGCAGACCCCUGGACCCGGAAAACCCAGCUCGAGAAGACGCCAUUGAAAAGGACUGUGGAGGAGAUUUUUGGCCCUCUGCCAAGAAAAGCCGCGGUCCAGACGCGAGUCGGAGAGGAGGUGUCCCGGGAAGCCUCGCUCCUGUGCACUGCUGGUUGGUUUCAGGAACCUCCGAAUCGAUUUUGGACAAAUUGCUUUUGGGACUGUGUUUCACUUGAAGACUCAACAAAUAUUGGACUGAAGACCCCCCAACACUUUUUGAAUCGACUAAGUGAAAAAACUUCAGGACCAAUGCUACAGAGAUUCACUUUUUCACAAGUGUUUGGACCUGAAACAGCACAAGAAGAAUUCUUUGAAGGUACCAUGAACCAACAAGUACAAGAUUUCCUAGAUGGAUAUAAUCGUCUUGUUUUGAAACAUGGUGUUACAAAUUCUGGGAAAACUUACACUUUCCAAGGUGCCCACAGGGAGACAAGAUGAUGCAGAGCUCCACCAGGUGUAUUCACAACACAGAUCACCAGGACCAAGGAUCAUCAGGGCUCUGCCCAACAGGGGUCACUGGGGAUCAUCCAACACCGACCCUCCCAUGGGGAAUGGAGCUGGUGCAGAGCACGAAGCUCUUCCCACACUCGCGGCACUCACAGGGCUUCCCUUAGUGAUGCCUCUGUUGGUGUUGGGUCAGGUCCUAGCAGACUCCCUUAUAAUAAACUGCAACUGUAGCUUUUAGCAUUUACAGAGCGUCUGAGUCUUGUUUCUCGCGUCCACCCUGAUACAAAGAGUCCAGGAGUCGCCCGCAAAUAAGUCUGGAAACCAUGGCAGAAUUGAUUCCUUUGUCAGCAACCGCUUUCACGAUAGCCUGCACAUCCUUCGGGUUUACCGGGAAAUACAUUCUUUGGUUUCCGCCAGCACCCCCCACUCUGACUGGGAAUACUAACUUGGCAGACGGAGCCCACUCUGCACAUGCUAUUUUUAUUUUACGCCAGUCUGUAAGGGGGGGUUCGAUUUGUGUCUGGUGUCCCCCUAACCCAUGCCGGAGGGUUAUAGCUAGUGGUGUUAUAUUUUGCGGCUCCCUUCUUAUGAAAGCUGCAGCCGAUGUCAGGUUCCUCUUCCGACUAUCCCUCCGACCGGCUGUCCCAGCUUUGGUUAGAGUCAGAGCCGGAAGUCGACUGACUGGACGUUUCCGGGCUGCUCAGCCUUUUUCUCGGGCUCCGCCCUCGCCCCUUCCCCCGGGGGCCGGACCGUUCCCUCCCCCUGGGAUCCCCCCGCCUCCUGCUGGGGGAGGUUCUUGCCCUAUAUGGACCUGAUUUAAAAUGAGCUCUGUGAUUGGUCUUACGCUCCGCCUCGGGGGCUGUCCCUUCUUCCUGCUCGUUUGCGCUUGCGCUGUUCAGCGAGCUCUCUGCAUGUCCGCCCCCCGCGUUAGCGCCCUUCCCCCCGCCACGAGGCUUGGCGCUAUUUUUAAAUUUAUAAGGUGGUGGAGAUUUUUUAUCUGCUGCUGCGAGCUCUGAUAUUAUAGCAGCACUCUGUGCCUCCUCCGUUAGCCCCUGCCACAAUGCUCGCGCGCGGUCCCCCGCCUCCGGUGGCGGUGAGUUCGAACUGGGAGGGUGAGGAGGGAGCUCCGGGGACCGCGCGUCUGCGCGGUUGGCUGGGUCCGCGGUUUGAGUAGCCGCCCCGAUCCCCAGCUGCGGCGUGGCGAAUAAACAAGUUCGCGCGGCUUUCCAGGUUUCCUGCUCCUGCCGAGCAGCCCGCAAAGCCUGGAUAACUUUGCUUUAUGAUUUAAGGGGUUUUCCUGAGCCGGAGGACAUGGUGUCCUCAGCCAGGGCUGUGGUGCAUUUAUCCCAUACGUCCGGAUGGAGAAUUUCUACCGGGCUCUCUAUAGCCCCCAGCUUAAUCAACCUCGGCACUGCGAGAAUAAAAUCCUUAAGCUUACAAUCAAUAUUCCACUGAGCGUGGAUCUCACUUACGACCUUCGCGACAGCUUCCAUGCUCCUCGCUGGUCCAGGGGACGUCACCCUCACUGCACUCGCCAGCGCUGCAGUCGCCGGGUCCUGGUCAGGCGAACCCCAAAAUCCGGGCGGUCGGUUCCCGACGUUUUGUCCCGGGUUUCGGCACCAAUUUGUUGUCUGGUGGCCUGAUUCAGGUCCGGCACGGUGGCCCUAACCCAGGGUCACUCGGUUCAUUAGCUUUAGGACACCAAUGUGGUGGACAGCAAAUGGCGUUUAUUGAGGGGUUACAAGGGUCUUUAUAGCCUAGAUAGUGGUGGUUAUUUUCCCUAGCUUACGUCCGGCUGUGAGCUUAGAUCCGGAGCAGUGGAUUUCUGAGGGGAGAGGGGUUCCUAUCUGUCCUGGGUUGGUGUUUUGACUGAAUUCUCACCCUGCCCCCCCUUGGCCAUGAAGCUGUCUGCUCCCAGGGGAGGGGCCGCCUGGGCUCGACUCUGUGGACUGGCCUUGGUUUUUUUCUUUCUUGCCGUGGCUCGCUUGGCUCUGGCUGCUGCUGCUCGUGGCUUUUCGCUGCUGUGGUAGUAGUUCGUUGCCUGGUUUGUUAGUUAGCUGUUUUUUUCCUUGAUUUUUUGGCUUUAUAUUGCUUGAAUCAUUUGUUUUAGCUCGCUGUUGUUUAAGGCUUGCUGGCUGUUUUUUCUCGCCUUUCUCUCUCUCUCCCUCUCCCUUCCCCCCCCCUCACCUCCCGAGGAUCAGCACCAGCUCGCUCUGGAGGAACCCUGCGGCCUGCCUCUGGACACCGGCCAGAGAAGCAUCUCGUCCUUCCAGUGAAGAUCGAAUCAUCCACGUCUCUCUUUCUCUCUCAGUGAAAAUUUUUUUGUCAUCUGGAUCUGUGCUGGGAAGUGUUUCUCUUGUAUGUGUUAAUAAAUAGGUUUUUUCCACUUUUCCCCCUGAGUAAAAUAUUUUUUUCUUAAGUCCAGUGGGAUAAAAAAUUGGAGGUUUAUUCCCUGGAAAGCUCUUCAGGGGGUUUUUUCCCCUAAAUUUGUCCAAACU
Oenanthe melanoleuca is the source of this 3412-nucleotide long non-coding RNA. RefSeq lists it as uncharacterized. The record is from RefSeq and is a predicted model, not a curated record. Lineage: Eukaryota; Metazoa; Chordata; Aves; Passeriformes; Muscicapidae. The transcript has 5 exons.